This 433-nucleotide ribosomal RNA is filed under the name uncultured bacterium. RNAcentral describes it as "partial 16S ribosomal RNA". It matches the Rfam family "Bacterial small subunit ribosomal RNA", at positions 29 to 507 of the family's 1533-position model. The record is from RNAcentral.
AACGAACGCUGGCGGCAUGCCUAACACAUGCAAGUCGAACGAGACGGUCGGGUCUAGGGGCGCACGGGUGCGUAACGACGGGGAACCUACCCUUAGGUUCGGAAUAACUCCCCGAAAGGGGUGCUAAUACCAGUUAAUGUCUUAGGGCCAAAGACUUAUCGCCUUUGGAUGGGCGCGCGUUAGAUUAGCUGGUUGGUAGGGUAAUAGCCAGCCAAGGCGACGUUGCAUAGCUGGUCUGAGAGGAGGCCCAGCAGCGCUUGGACUGCGACACGGCCCAGUCGGGGACGCGACGCAGCAGUGUAGUACAUUGUACAAUGGGCGCAAGUCUAGUCCCGCCGUGUCGCGUGUGUGAUGAAUGCCUUAGUGUUGCAAAGCCCUCUUAGCCGGGACGAGAAUGACAGUACCGGGUGAAUAAGCACCGGCUAACUCCGUG